This 900-nucleotide ribosomal RNA is filed under the name Setomelanomma sp. 'prolata'. RNAcentral's name for it is "LSU rRNA". It matches the Rfam family "Eukaryotic large subunit ribosomal RNA", at positions 24 to 937 of the family's 3401-position model. Lineage: Eukaryota; Fungi; Ascomycota; Dothideomycetes; Pleosporales; Phaeosphaeriaceae. The record is from RNAcentral.
GCUGUGCCGCUCGAAUUAAGCAUAUCAAUAAGCGGAGGAAAAGAAACCAACAGGGAUUGCCCUAGUAACGGCGAGUGAAGCGGCAACAGCUCAAAUUUGAAAUCUGGCUCUUUCAGAGUCCGAGUUGUAAUUUGCAGAGGGCGCUUUGGCUUUGGCAGCGGUCCAAGUUCCUUGGAACAGGACGUCACAGAGGGUGAGAAUCCCGUACGUGGUCGCUAGCUAUUGCCGUGUAAAGCCCCUUCGACGAGUCGAGUUGUUUGGGAAUGCAGCUCUAAAUGGGAGGUAAAUUUCUUCUAAAGCUAAAUAUUGGCCAGAGACCGAUAGCGCACAAGUAGAGUGAUCGAAAGAUGAAAAGCACUUUGGAAAGAGAGUCAAACAGCACGUGAAAUUGUUGAAAGGGAAGCGCUUGCAGCCAGACUUGCUUGCAGUUGCUCAUCCGGGCUUUUGCCCGGUGCACUCUUCUGCAGGCAGGCCAGCAUCAGUUUGGGCGGUGGGAUAAAGGUCUCUGUCAUGUACCUCUCUUCGGGGAGGCCUUAUAGGGGAGGCGACAUACCACCAGCCUAGACUGAGGUCCGCGCAUCUGCUAGGAUGCUGGCGUAAUGGCUGUAAGCGGCCCGUCUUGAAACACGGACCAAGGAGUCUAACAUCUAUGCGAGUGUUUGGGUGUCAAGCCCGAGCGCGUAAUGAAAGUGAACGGAGGUGGGAACCCGCAAGGGUGCACCAUCGACCGAUCCUGAAGUUUACGGAAGGAUUUGAGUAAGAGCAUGGCUGUUGGGACCCGAAAGAUGGUGAACUAUGCUUGAAUAGGGUGAAGCCAGAGGAAACGCUGGUGGAGGCUCGCAGCGGUUCUGACGUGCAAAUCGAUCGUCAAAUUUGGGCAUAGGGGCGAAAGACUAAUCG